This is a long non-coding RNA of Dendronephthya gigantea, 686 nucleotides long. RefSeq lists it as uncharacterized. NCBI's taxonomy places the organism in Eukaryota, Metazoa, Cnidaria, Anthozoa, Malacalcyonacea, Nephtheidae. The record is from RefSeq and is a predicted model, not a curated record. The transcript is spliced from 3 exons.
AAAAUUAGGCUUUUUAAUAUAUUAAGCUUAAAUGAAGUACUUAGCAAAGCGUAAAGCGCGAAGGUGUUCAUGGGAAGAUUGCGCCCUGGGGAGCGCCUGGCAGAUCUUGUUCGAUUUCUUGCAAUAAAAGUCGAUUUCUUGCAAAUCAUCUAAAUUCACGUCGUUUCGCAACUUUUUCCGCUUUUAUUCGCUUUUAUUCACAAAAUAAUAUCUCCUUCAUUACAAUAAACAUUCAUUCGCCAUGUGAGAAGUGGUAAAUAUUUUUAUCUGAUGCCCUGAAGCAGCGAUAUGUCAUCAUUUGAAGAGGUCGACAAUGUUUUGGAUAGAUUAAAUCUUCAAGACGAACCAAGAGCUGCUCGUCGAUCAGCACGACGUAUUGCAUGCAAUUUUCAACGACCCUCAUCGCCGGAUGCUUCACAAGGUCAAAGCUUAAAACACGACUUGACGCCAAAGUCGAAAAGUGCGGGCCUGCCAAAAAGUAAACGUACUCACGUUUCAAUUCUUCCACUACCGGGAAAUUUAUAUAUUCAAUUCCAAAAAACAUAAUUAAUCUGGAAAGUUCUGGCAAGUGAGAAUUGAAGCCAUGCACAUGGUGGUUAGAAUUGAACAAAUCAAUCAUAUUCAUUCGGCGAAUAUUAAAGAGAAGAAAAAUCUAAUAUUAAUUGACUUUAGAUUUUGUAAUAUAA